Molecule: ribosomal RNA, 551 nt
Filed under: Dujonia zeylanoides
Lineage: Eukaryota; Fungi; Ascomycota; Pichiomycetes; Serinales; Debaryomycetaceae
Description: eukaryotic LSU rRNA
Rfam family: Eukaryotic large subunit ribosomal RNA
Source: RNAcentral
AAAKKGUUAUUGCCUCAGUACGGCGAGUGAAGCGGCAAAAGCUCAAAUUUGAAAUCUAGCACUUUCAGUGUUCGAGUUGUAAUUUGAAGAAGGUAACUUUGGUUUUGGCUCUUGUCUAUGUUCCUUGGAACAGGACGUCACAGAGGGUGAGAAUCCCGUGCGAUGAGAUGCCCAAUUCCAUGUAAAGUGCUUUCGAAGAGUCGAGUUGUUUGGGAAUGCAGCUCUAAGUGGGUGGUAAAUUCCAUCUAAAGCUAAAUAUUGGCGAGAGACCGAUAGCGAACAAGUACAGUGAUGGAAAGAUGAAAAGAACUUUGAAAAGAGAGUGAAAAAGUACGUGAAAUUGUUGAAAGGGAAGGGCUUGAGAUCAGACUUGGUAUUUUGCGUUCCCUUCCUUUUUGGUUGGGUUCCUCGCAGUUUACUGGGCCAGCAUCGGUUUGGAUGGUAGGAUAAUGACAUUGGAAUGUAGCUUUACUUCGGUGAAGUGUUAUAGACUUUGUUGAUACUGCCUAUCUAGACCGAGGACUGCGUCUUUGACUAGGAUGCUGGCGUAA